RNAcentral lists this transfer RNA (64 nucleotides) under Proasellus cantabricus. Its description in RNAcentral is "transfert RNA-D(GAC)". The record is from RNAcentral. Lineage: Eukaryota; Metazoa; Arthropoda; Malacostraca; Isopoda; Asellidae.
GUUAGUUAAAUAAAUAAUAUAAACUUGUCAUGUUUAAGUUGCACACGCCCUCUUAAGUGCCACA